This 253-nucleotide ribosomal RNA is filed under the name uncultured bacterium. RNAcentral describes it as "partial 16S ribosomal RNA". It matches the Rfam family "Bacterial small subunit ribosomal RNA", at positions 524 to 776 of the family's 1533-position model. The record is from RNAcentral.
UACAGAGGGGGCAAGCGUUAUUCGGAAUUAUUGGGCGUAAAGGGCGCGUAGGCGGCCUGGCAAGUGACGGGUGAAAUCCCUCGGCUUAACCGAGGAACUGCCUGUCAGACUGCUUGGCUUGAGACCGGGAGAGGUGAGUGGAAUUCCGAGUGUAGAGGUGAAAUUCGUAGAUAUUCGGAAGAACACCAGUGGCGAAGGCGGCUCACUGGACUGGUAUUGACGCUGAGGUGCGAAAGCGUGGGGAGCAAACAGG